CAUUUUGGAGAUAUCGGCGAUCUCAAUAUCCAUGAUCUCUUUCACGCAGUUACAGGUAAGGCCUUUUCAUGAUUUCAUCUAAAAGACACAUUUAGAGUAUCUCGAACGCAUUACCCAAUAAACACAAUUCCACCAAAUCUCAUUCACAAAUAUUGAAUCACAAUACUGAAGACUUGAAUCGUAGAGAAAGUUAGAAAUUGUAUUGACGUGGAAAUGUGUUACCUCUUUAAAUUUCAAAUGGAGUUUUGGAAAAAUGGCACUGAUAAACAAUUCAGUUGUAGCAAAGAUGUAAUUGAAUGUCAGUUAAACAGUAGUUACGGUGUUCAUAAGUAAUUGCUAAUUAGAAUCAAAUACUAAACAUUCCAGUAUUUUGACCUAUUUUUACCUAUUUACCUACACUGAACAAAAAUAUAAACGCAACAUGUUUAAUUAUGGUCCAAUGUUUAAUGAGUUGAAAUAAAAGAUCCCAGAAAUGUUCCACAAGCACAAAAAGCUUAUUUCUCUCAAAUUUUGUGCCAAAAAAUGUGUAUACAUCAUUGUUAGUGAGCAUUGAUAAUCCAUCCACCUGACAGGUGUGGCAUAUCAAGAAGCUGAUUAAACAGCAUAACCAUUACACAGGUGCACCUUAUUGCUGGGGACAAUAAAAGGCUACUCUAAAAUGUGCAGUUUUGUCACACAAGACAAUGCCACAGAUGUCUCAAGUUUGAGGGAGCGAGAAAUUGGCAUGCUGACUGCAGUUAUGUCCACCAGAGCUGUUGCCAGAGAUAUUAAGGUUAAUUUCUCUACCAUAAGCCACCUCCUAUAUCGUUUUAGAUAAUUUGGCAGUAUGUCCAACCGGCCUCACACCGCACACCACGUGUAUGGCAUCUUGUGGGUGAGCAGUUUGCUGAUGUCACCGUUGUGACCAGAGUGCCCCAUGGUGGCGGUGGGGUUAUGGUAUGGGCAGGCAUAAACUACGGACAAUGAACACAAUUGCAUUUUAUCGAUGGCAAUUUGAAUGCAGAUACCGUGACAAGAUCCUGAGGCCGAUUGUCAUGCCAUUCAUCCACCGCCAUCACCUCAUGUUGAAACAUGAUAAUGUACACGAUUCCUGGUAGCUGAAAAUAUCCCAGUGCUUCCAUGGCCUGCAUACUCACCAGACAUGUCACCCAUUGAGCAAGUUUGGGAUGCUCUGGAUCAACGUGUACAACAGUGUGUUUCAGUUCCCCACAAUAUCCAGCAACUUUGCACAGCCAUUGAAGAGGAGUGGGACAACAUUCCACAGGCCACAAUCAAUAGCCUGAUGAACUUUAUGCGAAAGAGAUGCAUGAGGCAAGUGGUGGUCACAUCAGAUACUGACUGCUUUUUCUGAUCCAUGCUGAUCCAGGUAUCUGUAUUCCCAGUCAUGUGAAAUCCUAAAUCCAUAUAAUCCAUAUAUAUUAUAUUUGACUGAUUUCCUUAUAUGAACUGUAACUCAGUAAAAUCUUUGAAUAUGGUGCAUGUUGGGUUUAUAUUUUAGUUCAGUACAGAUUAUCCAUAGCUGUCUAAUUCUGAUCUACUUUUUCUAUGUUUAUUUGAGGUGUAUUCUUACUGUGGAAGGCAUCUCAACAACAUCACAGAUGGGUCUGUGGUUUAUUGCUUUCAUCACUUUUCUGUUGAAAGGUGCACUCUGCCAACAGUGGAGUCUGUGGAUGCCCCAAAGCAUUGUGGCUGUUGGAGGAUCCUGCCUACUGGUCCCAUGUAGAUUUGAGAUCCCUGCUGCAUUUGAUGCUGACUUGAAAAACUGCACACCCACUGGGCUUUGGUCUAAAAAUGUUUUUUGGGGAAAUAUAGUAUUGAGCUCAGCCCAAACGGAUGCCCAAAACACCAUAAAGGGAGUGAUGGUGGGAAAUCUGUUGAGCAAGAACUGCACCACUCUUUUCAACAGUUUCCCUGCAGGAUAUGAUGACACAUAUAUCUUCGGGCUGGAAUGUGCUGGAACAAAUCGCCUCAAGUAUAUUUUCUACCCAGGAGUACAUAUCAGUCAUACAGACACCCCACCCAAACCCCAACUAACCCCUAUGGGCAACAUCACAGAGGGGGAGCUGGUUAGACUGAGCUGCUCUGCCUCUGCCCCCUGUCCUACGUUCCCACCUUCUCUGAUCUGGACCUCUGGGCUGGGUGGCAGUGUCGAGAGCCAGCUACAGGAGGGUAUAGAUGGGCUCAUGACCAUGACCUCCACCCUUACCUUUACCGCCUCCCUCCUCCAUCACGGGCUGCUGGUCAGAUGUUCUGCCCGCUACACACUGCAGCCAGGGGGCACCACCAAGACAACUCAGGGGAACCUGACCCUCAAUGUUCUUUAUGCUCCUAAAAACACUGUAGCCCUGUCCAGCCCAUCUGGGCCUGUGCCCGACGGGAGGGCAGUGACCCUGACCUGUCAGAGUGAUGCCAACCCACCAGUGGAGCGCUACUCCUGGUACAAAGACAUCAGUGGGCAGGUGACCUGGAAGGCUAAUGGGCAGACACUGGUCCUCCUGGUCAACAAGGCAGACAGCGGGCUGUACCUCUGUGAGGCCCACAACGAGAAGGGAUCACAAAGGUCAAAGGUCAUGCCUCUGGAGUUCGAAAGUGGCCAAUGUUCCGUGAUGGUCCCCUACAUCAUUUGUGGAGUGAUGGUGUUGCUCUAUGUUCUAACCGUCACCGUGGAUGUGUAUAAAUAUAAAAGGUAUCAUUGUUUACAUGUUCAUGCCCAUCGAGUUAAGGAAUACAUUUAUAGAAGGACUCUUCCGAUCCACUUUAUUCUAACCCAAGUUCCCCAUUAUUCCUCCCCUAAGUCUGUCCAGAAGACUGAAAGUAAGAGGAACAUUUUCAUAUUCAUAAUAUUCUGUUUAAUUAACUGAGAAAUUUUAAGGCAUUGGCAGUAGAUGAUGCAGUAUGAUACGAUACAGAGACAAAGUGUUUCUACGUCAAAGAUUCUACGUCAAAGAUUCUACGUCAAAGAUCCUACGUCAAAGCUUUAACAAUUCUCUGUAUGACUAAUACACAUCUUGAAUCUUUGACCAAAUUCACUGUGGUUUUGUAUAAAGCGUGCAACACUAAGGCUCCUAUUUCAUAUUACAUUUGAUAUAGUAUUGAUACCUCUGAGACUGAUAGUCUGUUGGAUAAGAUAUAACUCCUCCGUUUAAAUACAAUUAUUUCUCCUCGAUAUACCAGCAGCAGCUAGAGCUGUCAGAGAAAGGAGAUGCCACGUACACUAACCUAACGAUCGCCAGCAUCAGCUCUGACUAUGACCAACUCCAGAUGACCAGGGCUGCCCGAGGUGAAGCUCAUCCUGGCAGAAGAAGUGAAAGAGCUGCUCCUUGAAACCACAUGGCAAAACAGAUCCAGAUUUGACCUUUGUAUUUUAACUUUGUUGUAUGGAGUGUAGUACUAAAUUGUAGUUUACUCUUUUUGGUUUCUUCAGAUCGUACUGUAUAUUUAUAUCGCAAAAUACAUGAUAUUAUAUAUUUGAAUCUGAUGCCUCGAUUUUAUAUACCUGUCAGCAACGGGUGUGGGUGAAAAAGCCGAAUCCACUCAUUUGAAGGGGUGUCCACAUACUUCUGACCAUGUAGUGUAGUACUAAAUUGUAGGUUACUCUUUUUGGUUUGUGGUUCAGCAUCAUCAAUGUAUUUCUGUCUUCUUCUCUGUAGAUUAUGUUAAACCAUUCAGGGGGUUGUGGGUUGUGUCAGUCAGGAUUAUAAUGGCCAUAAUCAGUCGAAUAAAUCUCUUAAUGUCA
Molecule: RNA transcript, 3736 nt
Organism: Oncorhynchus kisutch (coho salmon)
Lineage: Eukaryota; Metazoa; Chordata; Actinopteri; Salmoniformes; Salmonidae
Gene name: myelin-associated glycoprotein
Exons: 6
Source: RefSeq, a predicted model, not a curated record